CGCAUCUGUGCAUGCAGCAUAUCAAUAAGCGGAGGAAAAGAAACUAACAAGGAUUCCCCUAGUAACGGCGAGUGAAGCGGGAAGAGCUCAAAUUUGAAAUCUUAAAGGGUUUCCCUUUACGAAUUGUAGUUUAAAGAAGUGUUUUCUGUUGAGGUUUUGGUAAAAGUUCUUUGGAAUAGGACAUCAUAGAGGGUGAGAAUCCCGUAUUUGACCUUUACUCUCAACUUUGUGAUACACUUUCAAAGAGUCGGAUUGUUUGGGAAUGCAGUCCAAAAUGGGUGGUAAAUUUCAUCUAAAGCUAAAUAUUGGCGAGAGACCGAUAGCGAACAAGUACCGUGAGGGAAAGAUGGAAAGAACUUUGAAAAGAGAGUUAAACAGUACGUGAAAUUGUCAAAAGGGAAGCGUUUGACACCAGUGUUGUUUUUCUGAAAAUCAAUUAAAGAACUGUUUAUGCUAAGUUGUUUAGACUUUAUCAGCUAUCUGCUUAGUUUUGAGCUUUUCUUUAAUGCACUUUUCAGUUAACAAGUCAACAUCAAUUUCUUUUGCUGUAAAAAAGCUUGAGGAAGGUGGCUUGAGAUUCGUCUUAAGUGUUUAUAGCCUCUUGCCUAUGCAGUCGGAGAGAUUGAGGUCUGCAGCGUAGAUCCUUCGGGGCUAAAUGCAUUUGUGCUAAGUUAUAGCAUUUUAUAGACAACUUGUUGACUAUGAUUUGUCUUGUAGCUUACUCGCUUAUGUUAUUUUACCUACGCUUAGGAUGUUGAAGAUGUAGCACAUCAU
RNAcentral lists this ribosomal RNA (774 nucleotides) under uncultured Neocallimastigales. RNAcentral's name for it is "partial large subunit ribosomal RNA". It matches the Rfam family "Eukaryotic large subunit ribosomal RNA", at positions 26 to 635 of the family's 3401-position model. The record is from RNAcentral. Lineage: Eukaryota; Fungi; Neocallimastigomycota; Neocallimastigomycetes; Neocallimastigales.